GAUGAAGAACGCAGCGAAUUGCGAUAUGUAAUGUGAAUUGCAGAUUUUCAGUGAAUCAUCGAAUCUUUGAACGCACCUUGCGCUCCUUGGUAUUCCGAGGAGCAUGCCUGUUUGAGUGUCAUGAAAUUCUCAACCUUUUCAGCUUUCUUUGUUGAUCAGGCUUGGAUGUGGGAGUAUGCGGGCUUCUCAGAAGUCGGCUCUCCUGAAAUGCAUUAGCGGGACCUUUGUUGCCUGGCUUUGGUGUGAUAAUUAUCUACGCCAUUGUAGUCAAGCAGCUUAAAAUGAGGUUUCAGCUUCUAACCGUCUCCCCUGAGACAACUUUUUGACAAUUUGACCUCAAAUCAGGUAGGACUACCCGCUGAACUUAAGCAUAUCAAUAAGCGGAGGA
Molecule: unclassified non-coding RNA, 388 nt
Filed under: soil metagenome
Description: partial contains 5.8S ribosomal RNA, internal transcribed spacer 2, and large subunit ribosomal RNA
Rfam family: 5.8S ribosomal RNA (bases 1-121)
Source: RNAcentral